CUUGGUCAUUUAGAGGAAGUAAAAGUCGUAACAAGGUUUCCGUAGGUGAACCUGCGGAAGGAUCAUUAUCACGUAUCCACGUAUCAACCAUUGUGAACUGUGCCCACCUCUAAACUUUGGUGAUGAUGGAGUUGGUGUGUUCUCAUACCAUCACUAUCCGCUCCCAAUUUUUAGAGUGUAUUUUUCAUUUUCUUUUAUUAACCACUUGAACCAAAUCUCUUUUAAGAUUUUUGAACUGAUAAAGUAGGAAACUGAAAAGUUUUUACUACUAAUUUACGAAAACACUGUACAACUCUUAGCAACGGAUAUCUUGGCUCUCGUAACGAUGAAGAACGCAGCGAAAUGCGAUACGUAAUGCGAAUUGCAGAAUUCAGUGAAUCAUCAAAUCUUUGAACGCAAAUUGCGCUUUCUGGAUAGGCCAGAGAGCAUGCUUCUUUGAGUAUCGUUUCUACCAAAAUCAGCAUUUCUGCUGGAGAAUGAGUGUCUCGCUGCAUUAAUUUGCAAGUGAGUCGCUUGAAAUAGAGCAAAUUGAUGUGAUCAAUACUGGUUAUUGUUUCUCGAUAUUCCAGUGAUGUUGGAUAAUAUUUUCUUUAUCUAAACAUUACAUAUUGGUGUAUCACUUACGGGAAAUGAUAUGCUACGUAUGAUUUGCAAUUCGAUUUGAAAUAGAAAACCUAGAGAGAGAGAGAGAGAGUUCGCUCGCUCUCCACUCUUUUGAAUUUGAUCUCAAAUGAAGCAAGACUACCCGCUGAACUUAAGCAUAUUAUUAAGCGGAGGAAAAGAAACUAACAAGGAUGCCCUCAGUAACGGCGAGUGAAGCGGGCAAAGCUCAACCUGAAAAUCGGGUUCCCAAACGGGAUCUCGAAUUGUGGGCUACAGAUGCAUGAUCAGUGUGUGACCCGGGUAUAAGUGUGCUUUGGAAUUACUCAUCACAGAGGGUGACAAUCCCGUCCGUGACCCGGAGUUUUCGCCGCGUACGAUCUGCAUUCAUAGAGUCGCGUUGUUUGGGAUUGCAGCGCUAAAUGGGUGGUAAAUUUCAUCUAAAGCUAAAUAUCGACGAGAGACCGAUAGCGAACAAGUACCGUGAGGGAAAGAUGAAAAGAACUUUGAAAAGAGAGUUAAAAAGUACUUGAAAUUGCUAAGAGGGAAGCACUGGAAACCAGUCAUUUUGGGCCGGCUACACCUCAAUAUUCACUCCUGGAUCAGUUAACCGCGUCGUGAGCCUAAAACCACGUGUGGUAUACUGUGAAAAUGUUGGAUAUGUAUGUGUGAUUGGCUUUGGUCAGAAUCAAUUUGAUCCGUGAGAGAAAGCUAUCGCAACGGUAGGAAUUGUUGGGGCAACUCAACGGUUCUGAUUAGUGCGGUAGUGCUAUCGUGGGUUGGAUUGAGGGACAAUCGAAAUGCGCACCACUAGGUUUGUGGCCUCCUGUCCCUGGUGGCUCAAGAGACGUGUACAACAAAGUUGUGCUGUUUCUGAAGGCUACUACUGGUAUGGAAUGGUCAACAGCAGCAUUCGAGAUUCUGACGAAAUGGUUUUCAUUGACCCGUCUUGAAACACGGACC
This 1563-nucleotide ribosomal RNA is filed under the name uncultured fungus. RNAcentral's name for it is "eukaryotic LSU rRNA". The stretch from base 722 to 1563 matches the Rfam family "Eukaryotic large subunit ribosomal RNA", at positions 1 to 667 of the family's 3401-position model. Lineage: Eukaryota; Fungi. The record is from RNAcentral.